GAUGAAGAACGCAGCGAAAUGCGAUAAGUAAUGUGAAUUGCAGAAUUCAGUGAAUCAUCGAAUCUUUGAACGCACAUUGCGCCCCUUGGUAUUCCGAGGGGCAUGCCUGUUCGAGCGUCAUUAUAACCCCUCAAGCUCAGCUUGGUGUUGGGGCCUGCUCCACUGGCAGCCCUUAAAAUCAGUGGCGGCGCCAUCUGGCUCUAAGCGUAGUAAUUCUUCUCGCUAUGGAGUCCUGGUGGAUGCUUGCCAUCAACCCCCAAUUUUUCUAUGGUUGACCUCGGAUCAGGUAGGGAUACCCGCUGAACUUAAGCAUAUCAAUAAGCGGAGGA
Molecule: unclassified non-coding RNA, 329 nt
Filed under: soil metagenome
Description: partial contains 5.8S ribosomal RNA, internal transcribed spacer 2, and large subunit ribosomal RNA
Rfam family: 5.8S ribosomal RNA (bases 1-120)
Source: RNAcentral